Molecule: ribosomal RNA, 484 nt
Filed under: uncultured bacterium
Lineage: Bacteria
Description: partial 16S ribosomal RNA
Rfam family: Bacterial small subunit ribosomal RNA
Source: RNAcentral
AUUGAACGCUGGCGGCAUGCUUUACACAUGCAAGUCGAACGGCAGCGCGGGCUUCGGCCUGGCGGCGCGUGGCGAACGGGUGAGUAAUGCAUCGGAACGUGCCCAGUAGUGGGGGAUAGCCCGGCGAAAGCCGGAUUAAUACCGCAUACGACCUGAGGGUGAAAGCGGGGGACCGAAAGGCCUCGCGCUAUUGGAGCGGCCGAUGUCGGAUUAGCUAGUUGGUGGGGUAAAGGCUUACCAAGGCGACGAUCCGUAGCUGGUCUGAGAGGACGACCAGCCACACGGGAACUUGAACACCGCCCAGGCUCCUACGGGAGGCAGCAGUCGGGAAUUGUGGGCAAUGGGGGCAACCCUGGUCCAACCGUGCCGCGUGCGGGAAGAAGGCCUUCGGGGUGUAAACCGCUUUUGUUCGGGAAGAAAUCCUCUGGGCUAAUACCCCGGGGGGAUGACGGUACCGGAAGAAUAAGCACCGGCUAACUACGUG